GGGGGGGGGGGGGGGGGGGGGGGGGGGGGGGGGGGCGGGCGGGAGGGCCCGGCGGUGGGGGGGUGCUCGGGUGGCGGAGGGGUGGGUAACGCGUGAGUGACCUGCCCUUGACUUUGGGAUAACUUCAGGAAACUGGGGCUAAUACCGGCUAGGAGCUCCUGCUGCAUGGUGGGGGUUGGAAAGUUUCGGCGGUUGGGGAUGGACUCGCGGCUUAUCAGCUUGUUGGUGGGGUAGUGGCUUACCAAGGCUUUGACGGGUAGCCGGCCUGAGAGGGUGACCGGCCACAUUGGGACUGAGAUACGGCCCAGACUCCUACGGGAGGCAGCAGUGGGGAAUAUUGCACAAUGGGCGGAAGCCUGAUGCAGCAACGCCGCGUGCGGGAUGACGGCCUUCGGGUUGUAAACCGCUUUCGCCUGUGACGAAGCGUGAGUGACGGUAAUGGGUAAAGAAGCACCGGCUAACUACGUG
This 468-nucleotide ribosomal RNA is filed under the name uncultured bacterium. RNAcentral's name for it is "partial 16S ribosomal RNA". The stretch from base 49 to 468 matches the Rfam family "Bacterial small subunit ribosomal RNA", at positions 36 to 507 of the family's 1533-position model. The record is from RNAcentral.